Long non-coding RNA from Aegilops tauschii subsp. strangulata, 1655 nucleotides. RefSeq lists it as uncharacterized. Lineage: Eukaryota; Viridiplantae; Streptophyta; Magnoliopsida; Poales; Poaceae. The record is from RefSeq and is a predicted model, not a curated record.
CUACUAGUGUUUGGAAAUUAUAAUUACUAGAACUCUUAUUUCUCACCCUUUUAAUUGCUGGCUAAUUCUUGUAAAAAGUAGUGGUUAAUCUUGCUAAUUACUUUGAUGUGAUGCCUAGGUGUUCAGUCCAGCUCCUGCAACCAACACAGGCCGUUGCCCCUUUUGCCACAACGGCACCAGCACAAACACGAGCGUGGUCAUCCUCAACCAGUUCCUCACGCGGCCUCCGCGCAAGCCCUGCUCGUGUAUGCUUACACCAAAAGUACAACUCUUGCUACUCUCCUUGUACUUGCACUUGCUUAUUUUCUAAGCAAUAAUCCUAUUGCUUCCUCUUGGGGAAAGGGAUCCCAUGUUGAAGCUGUCUUGGUGCUCACCCACUGUUUAUAUUCAUCACCAUAGUGUACGAAACAUAUGAAAACCAUUCUGGCUUCGGAGAAAUAUAACCAGUACAUGUGCAAUUGCGCGAGAAGUUCCCUUAUGAAAGUUCCAUGUAAACAAACCACAUGAAAGUUCAUCGAGAGAAACUUUGUAAGUUCAAAAUGGCUAUAGGAAAACUUUGUAGGUUCAGAUGGGUAUAGAAAACUUUGUAAGUUCAAAAUGGGCAUGCCUAACAGUGGAUGAAUAAAAAAACUAAACCCAACAAAGUCCAUGUUGGUCGGUGUACAGUGUGUUGUCAAGAAGGUUGUUGGCCUUGGAGGCCGACACUGGCUGAUCAUCUACCUUCCAAUUAUUAUUAGGCAUAUACCACUAAAACUGCAGGUCGCGCCCUCCUCCUGCUGUAGGUCGCGCCCUCCUCUCGCAUAGCCUAUUGGUUGGCGUACCGUGACCCCUUCUCAUAUUUUUGUUCGAUGUUUUGAGAUAGCUCAGAUUACUUCCAACUGUGAAGAUUGACAUGCAUAUUUGGGGAUGAGAUUUUCAGCUGACCAGAACUGUUAACGAACCAAAGCAAUCAGGAAUAGUUAGUCAUGGGGGAUCGUUACCUGGACAAACAAGUUCAGAAUUUUGGAGAACCUUUCUUUAUGGUUAUUCGCGAGGAUGAGACCUUAUCUUCUAUUAAAGAACGUUUACAGAAAAAGCUUAAGGUCUCAGAUGAGGAUUUCUCAAAGCAGUUCAACAGGGGCGCAGGGUUCAGUUCGACGGUGACGAGCCAGGCAGCCGGCCUUCGCAUAACGAACUGGUGCAGUUCGAUCUUGUGCAAAUCGGAAAUCCCCUGAUGCUGAGUGUGUCAGUACAACCCUACGCUUUAAGGCACACAUGCAUCCACUCCACGUGUUAGUCAAUGUCAUCAGGGAAGAAGACCUCGACCUAUGGCAAAGAUGUCCGCACAUGCCACACGCUACCAGAUUCGCCGCCCACAGCUACAACCCUUCGACCGGCAAGGCUGCCAUUCCCCCCGCACCUGACGCCGCCUGGGCCCUCCGGACAACGAGACCAUCGCCGCCCCAUGCUCAAUCUAGAGUUCUUGUGUGUUUGCAUGUUAGGUGCUCGUACAAAUGCCCCUGAGGAUGUUUUUUCCUCAAAAAUGUUACUUGUGUUUCUAAAUUUGACAUGAUGCCAGUGGCUAAACCUGACGCACUUGCAUAGUAGCUACAUCUAGCUACUUGCUCUCCAUUAUAUCCCCCUCUUUGCAGAAAAAUCGUCCGUUCAAGUUUCAA